RNAcentral lists this transfer RNA (73 nucleotides) under Bacteroidales bacterium. RNAcentral's name for it is "tRNA-Thr". It matches the Rfam family "tRNA". From Rfam's summary of the family: Transfer RNA (tRNA) molecules are approximately 80 nucleotides in length. Their secondary structure includes four short double-helical elements and three loops (D, anti-codon, and T loops). Lineage: Bacteria; Pseudomonadati; Bacteroidota; Bacteroidia; Bacteroidales. The record is from RNAcentral.
GCCUCUUUAGCUCAGUUGGUAGAGCAACGCAUUCGUAACGCGUAGGUCGUGGGUUCAAGUCCCAUGAGAGGCU